Salvia splendens (bonfire salvia) is the source of this 199-nucleotide long non-coding RNA. RefSeq lists it as uncharacterized. The transcript is spliced from 3 exons. The record is from RefSeq and is a predicted model, not a curated record. NCBI's taxonomy places the organism in Eukaryota, Viridiplantae, Streptophyta, Magnoliopsida, Lamiales, Lamiaceae.
GCGCGAUUUAAAGACGCAAACCAGGGUUGAACCGAUUAAUCGGUUGAUUUACUCAAGAACAAGCAAAAAGGAGAGAAAUCCGUUUUCUAUCACUCUAAGCCCGAAAGGUAGUGAACGAUGGCGCCCAACCACUCUGGAGUUAAUUUGAAUGCCGAAGAGAAGAAGAAAUGGGCCGAACUCUCACAACUACCCUACCGGG